Phascolarctos cinereus (koala) is the source of this 1659-nucleotide long non-coding RNA. The record is from Ensembl. NCBI's taxonomy places the organism in Eukaryota, Metazoa, Chordata, Mammalia, Diprotodontia, Phascolarctidae.
UAUGUGCCAAAUUUACUUCCACAGCUAGAUCACCCAGAACCUCCAGGAACCAAGGGAACCAAGAAGAUUGGCUUUUGUGAUUAUACCCAGGCCACCCAUGAAUAAGUCCAUUGAGCAAGGGGUAAGAAACAGCUAUUCAGUCUAUAAAUAUCCUCAAGGCUGGCCUGCAAAGCCAAUGAUGUCAGAGAAAGUGAACAGACAUCUCCAAAGAGACAAGUUCAGUAUGGAGAAGGCCAGGCAUAAAGGAUAACUUCCCCUCUGUCAUUAUGUUUCUAUACUUGAUGCAGUAGGGCUGGUGAAAUGUAUCUUUCCCAGCACUGCCUUACAAAGAACUAGUCCUUAUGAGAAACUCCCUGGGAUCCCCCUGAGGAGCAUCAGGUGUGUCUGCAAUAGCUCCAUCAGCAAUGAGAUCACUGUUUUGUGUAGAGAAUGUUUGGAUCCCUCCAAGCAAGGAGUGCUGGUAUGGUCCAUCUCCUAGGAGAGAUGAAUGGCGUGGUUGUGAAAUUGCCUGGCCAGCUAACCCAGACAUAAUGGAAGACAAAACAACUGAAUUUUUUUUUGGUCCCUGAACUAAUUGCUUAUUGAAAUGCACACAAACACGUCUUCUUUCCUCUUCUUCAGGCCUCUCCCAGUUAUUCUGGGUACUGCAAUGAUAAAAGAAAGUAAGGUCACAUCAUCAAAUCUCUGCCAAUUGAAACACAUCUAAUGGCGAGACGGCAUGUCUGAAGCAAAUGGAUAAAAAUCUCAUUUCUAAGCUAUUGGAUCCAAAAUUAUGCAGAUUACAAUCAAAUCCCUUUUGGUUGUUGUUGUUGGGUUUUUGUGGGGUUUCUUAAAGGCAUACAUCCAGUGAUUUUUUUUAAUCCCUAAAGUUGGGGGAUUUAAAUCCUAGGUAAGGAAGGAACCUCACAAAAUUCAUUUUGAAGCUACAAUUAAGAACCAAAUGGUCUACUGUUAUUUUUUUAAAAUGGCAGUUCAGAUCAAAGAAAGCCAUAGAGAGGAAAAGAAAAAGGUUUUCCCUGGCAGGUAAUUGAUGGGAUUUUUGAGCAAGAGGGUGAGAGGUGUGAACAGGAAUAUGGGUGAGGAAGGCCUGGAAGGCUGAAAGGAGUAAGACCUUUGGAGAGAAGAGGAAAUUCCUUUGAUGAAAGGUCCCUGAUAUCCCCGGUGAUUCAAAUCUUCCACAUAACAAUCUCAUUCAUUGUACCUACUUCAGGUCUCAGCUCUGUGCCCAUUAAUUUGACUCCCAAAGGAAAGAGCACAAUUUGGGAGGGGAAAGGACUUUUUUUUUAACACCCCUGCUUUUCCAUUUGAUUGCCAUACUUUCCUUACACAAAAGUCAGAGAUCUGAGGAAGACAGAGUUGACCUUGACAGUCUCUUGAGGUAUUCACAGAUAGCUAAGCCCUGCUGAACUGGUGUUCAGGAAGAGAAGGCAGGGGUGUGGAGGGUGGGGGUUGAUGGUGGCAAGUUCCUUAUUUGCAUUCAAAAAACAAUGGAUCUUGGAUGGCUUCUGGGUCAGGAUCAGAAUGUGUGAUCCUGCUUUGUCAUGGUAGGCAAGCAAAAAUCAUGUAAAAAUUUGGAAAAGUGACUUGUACUGAGCUACCUUAUUUCUAAUUUAAUUAAAACCGAAACAAAAAUAAAAAGGAGGUGGGGAGGGUGGUGCA